CCUUGAAGAGGCCCACUUGGAGAGGAGCUGAGGCCUCCCACCAACAGCCAGCACCAACUUGCUAGCCAUGUCAAGUCAGCCUCUUUGGAAAUAGAUGUGCCAUUUCCAGGAAAACUUUCAGAUGACUGCAACCCCAGCCAACACCUGACUGCAGCCAACACUGACUGCAACCCUGAGCCAGAAAUGCUGAGUCAGGCUGCUCCUUAAUUCUUACCCCGUAGAAACUGUGAGGAAGCACCGAGAAGGCAGGUCUGCAAGCCAAGAAGAGGCAUCUCAUCAGGAACCAAACCCUGCCAGAAACUUGAUCUUGGACACCCGUCUCCAGAACUAUAAACAAACUGAGGCAUGAAGAAGAGAGCGCCUGACUCGAGGUGGCACAGUGAUUCCAACCCAUGCAGUCAGACUCCA
Molecule: long non-coding RNA, 408 nt
Filed under: Equus caballus (horse)
Lineage: Eukaryota; Metazoa; Chordata; Mammalia; Perissodactyla; Equidae
Description: lncRNA (ENSECAG00000060127.1)
Source: RNAcentral